UUGAGAUAGAAAAGAAGUCAUUGGAAUUAAGCAUGUGGGAUUCUGUCGGAAGCUCCGAAGUGAAAUUGUAUAACAAUUCAACUAAUACAGAAAGUAGAGGACCAGUAAAGGUGUUGUUUGAAAGGGGGAUGAUCAGCAUAUAUCUUCCGGGGAGCAAGGUUCCUAAUUGGUUUUGUUACAAGAGUGCUGGAGCAACUCUAUCUUUCGCUGUCCCUUCACCUCCUGAUCUCAAGAUCCAGGGCAUAACUGUGUGCUCAGUGUACACAAUUGA
Molecule: unclassified non-coding RNA, 271 nt
Filed under: Hevea brasiliensis (rubber tree)
Lineage: Eukaryota; Viridiplantae; Streptophyta; Magnoliopsida; Malpighiales; Euphorbiaceae
Source: RNAcentral